Long non-coding RNA from Myotis davidii, 646 nucleotides. RefSeq lists it as uncharacterized. The record is from RefSeq and is a predicted model, not a curated record. The transcript is spliced from 5 exons. NCBI's taxonomy places the organism in Eukaryota, Metazoa, Chordata, Mammalia, Chiroptera, Vespertilionidae.
UGUGCCUCGUCAUUCGGACAGCCUGGUACUUAAGGACAGCAGACCUGGCCUUGCCUCUUCCCACCUGGGAUUUUUUCAACUGCUCAAAGGCCAGUUUCUUUGUUUGCAGAAUGGGCAUAAUAAGAGUACCUAUCGAUGGGGUGCUUAGCACAAGGCUAUGAGACAUUUAAGUACAAAGCUGUCUUUCCGAUCUUUAUAUUUGGCCGUGCCCAGCAAAGUGAACCCAUGGAUUCCACACACGUUUAUGAGGUGCCUGCUAUGGGUCAGGCACAUUGCUAGGACUCUACGAGAAGAUGUAACAAAGGAGUCAGGAGUCAUGAGCACCACCUUGAAUGACAUGCUGCUGUCAUUAAUGUAACUGUAAUGAUAACGUUCUGAACUAGCAACACACAGUCUUCCCAAGAAUCAACAGAGUACUCACAUUCUGGAGAAUUCAGGAUAUGUCCAACAAAGGUGUAUGGAUAGUGGUUAGACGAUUAUAUACUUUACCGAGUGGUUCCCCCGACAUUUCCAGUACCCACAUGGCACCAUACAAGAUGCCAUUAAAAGAAGACUUGGGAAUUUUAUGUGAACCUGCAGAUGGCAUCUACAAAAGGUUAAGGAGCAUUCAUCUACUGGGGGGAAUGAAUUUUAAAAAAAAUCAACA